GAUGAACGCUAGCGGCAGGCUUAACACAUGCAAGUCGAGGGGUAUAGUAGCAAUACUAGAGACCGGCGCACGGGUGCGUAACGCGUAUGCAAUCUACCUUUCACAGAGGGAUAGCCCAGAGAAAUUUGGAUUAAUACCUCAUAGUAUAGUAUCUUGGCAUCAAGGAACUAUUAAAGUCACAACGGUGAAAGAUGAGCAUGCGUCCCAUUAGUUAGUUGGUAAGGUAACGGCUUACCAAGACUACGAUGGGUAGGGGUCCUGAGAGGGAGACCCCCACUCUGGUACUGAGACACGGACCAGACUCCUACGGGAGGCAGCAGUGAGGAAUAUUGGACAAUGGGCGCAAGCCUGAUCCAGCCAUGCCGCGUGCAGGAUGACGGUCCUAUGGAUUGUAAACUGCUUUUGUACAGGAAGAAACACCCCGACGUGUCGGGACUUGACGGUACUGUAAGAAUAAGGAUCGGCUAACUCCGUGCCAGCAGCCGCCGUAA
RNAcentral lists this ribosomal RNA (491 nucleotides) under uncultured bacterium. Its description in RNAcentral is "partial 16S ribosomal RNA". It matches the Rfam family "Bacterial small subunit ribosomal RNA", at positions 28 to 523 of the family's 1533-position model. The record is from RNAcentral.